RNAcentral lists this ribosomal RNA (2514 nucleotides) under Clostridioides difficile P25. RNAcentral describes it as "bacterial LSU rRNA". It matches the Rfam family "Bacterial large subunit ribosomal RNA", at positions 387 to 2925 of the family's 2925-position model. Lineage: Bacteria; Bacillati; Bacillota; Clostridia; Peptostreptococcales; Peptostreptococcaceae. The record is from RNAcentral.
ACGAAGACUUUAGAUAUGAUCCAGAGUACCACGGGACACGUGAAACCCUGUGGGAAGCAGGAGGGACCACCCUCCAAGGCUAAAUACUACCUAGUGACCGAUAGCGUAUAGUACCGUGAGGGAAAGGUGAAAAGAACCCCGGGAGGGGAGUGAAAUAGAACCUGAAACCCUGCACUUACAAGCUGUGGAAGCACAUUUCUUGUGUGACCGCGUACUUUUUGUAGAACGGGCCAACGAGUUACGUUAAGUAGCAAGGUUAAGCACUUAAGGUGCGGAGCCGUAGCGAAAGCGAGUUUUAACUGAGCGUUCAGUUACUUGACGUAGACCCGAAACCGGGCGACCUACCCAUGAGCAGGAUGAAGCGAAAGUAAAAUUUCGUGGAGGUCCGAACCCACGAGCGUUGAAAAGCUCGGGGAUGACUUGUGGGUAGCGGUGAAAUUCCAAUCGAGCCCGGAGAUAGCUGGUUCUCCCCGAAAUAGCUUUAGGGCUAGCCUCAAGGUGAGAGAUACGGAGGUAGAGCACUGAAUGUCCUAGGGGGUAUUGCACCUACCGAAGACUAUCAAACUCCGAAUGCCGUCAUCUUAUACUUGGGAGUCAGACUGUGGGUGAUAAGAUUCAUAGUCGAAAGGGCAACAGCCCAGAUCGUCAGCUAAGGUCCCUAAAUGUAAGUUAAGUGGUAAAGGAUGUGGGAUUGCACAGACAACCAGGAUGUUGGCUUAGAAGCAGCCACUCAUUCAAAGAGUGCGUAAUAGCUCACUGGUCGAGUGAUCCUGCGCCGAAGAUUUCCGGGGCUAAAACUUACUACCGAAGCUACGGCAUCAGUAAUGAUGGGUAGGGGAGCUUCCCAUACGGGUUGAAGCAUGACCGUAAGGACAUGUGGACAGUAUGGGAGUGAGAAUGUUGGCAUGAGUAGCGAGAUGUGGGUGAGAAUCCCACAGGCCGUAAACCCAAGGUUUCCAGGGGAAGGUUCGUCCGCCCUGGGUUAGUCGGGACCUAAGCUGAGGCCGAAAGGCGUAGGUGAUGGACAACAGGUUGAUAUUCCUGUACUACCGAUAACCGUUUGAGAGAAGGGAUGACACAGUAGGAUAAGCUAAGCACACUGUUGGUUAUGUGUGCCCAAGCAUUGAGGCAGUCAAAGUAGGCAAAUCCGCUUUGAUAAUGCUGGGAUGUGAUGGGGAGCGAAAUUUAGUAGCGAAGUAGCUGAUUUCACACUGUCAAGAAAAGUCUCUAUCGAGGUUAAAGGUACCCGUACCGCAAACCGACACAGGUGGGUGAGGAGAGUAUCCUAAGGCCAGCGAGAGAACUGUUGUUAAGGAACUCGGCAAAAUGACCCCGUAACUUAGGGAUAAGGGGUGCCACCAUCAGGUGGCCGCAGAGAAUAGGCCCAAGCGACUGUUUACCAAAAACAUAGGUUUCUGCUAAGUCGCAAGACGAUGUAUAGGAGCUGACGCCUGCCCGGUGCUGGAAGGUUAAGGGGAUCUGUUAGAGCAAUCGAAGCAGUGAACUUAAGCCCCAGUAAACGGCGGCCGUAACUAUAACGGUCCUAAGGUAGCGAAAUUCCUUGUCGGGUAAGUUCCGACCCGCACGAAAGGCGUAACGAUUUGGGCACUGUCUCAACAACAGACUCGGUGAAAUUGUAAUUCCGGUGAAGAUGCCGGAUACCUGCGACAGGACGGAAAGACCCCAUGGAGCUUUACUGUAGCUUGACAUUGGGUCUUGGUACUACAUGUACAGGAUAGGUGGGAGGCUUUGAAACCAGGACGCCAGUUUUGGCGGAGCCAUCCUUGGGAUACCACCCUUGUAGUACUGGGACUCUAACCAUAGGCCAUGAAUCUGGUCUUGGGACACUGUCAGGUGGGCAGUUUGACUGGGGCGGUCGCCUCCCAAAAGGUAACGGAGGCGCUCAAAGGUUCUCUCAGUACGGUCGGAAAUCGUACGUAGAGUGUAAAGGCAAAAGAGAGCUUGAUUGCAAGACAUACAGGUCGAGCAAGGAUGAAAAUCGGACUUAGUGAUCCGGUGGUUCUGCGUGGAAGGGCCAUCGCUCAACGGAUAAAAGCUACCCUGGGGAUAACAGGCUUAUCUCCCCCAAGAGUCCACAUCGACGGGGAGGUUUGGCACCUCGAUGUCGGCUCAUCACAUCCUGGGGCUGUAGUAGGUCCCAAGGGUUGGGCUGUUCGCCCAUUAAAGUGGUACGCGAGCUGGGUUCAGAACGUCGUGAGACAGUUCGGUCCCUAUCCGUCGCAGGCGUAGGAAAUUUGAGAAGACCUGUCCUUAGUACGAGAGGACCGGGAUGGACGUACCUCUGGUGUACCAGUUGUCCUGCCAAGGGCAUGGCUGGGUAGCUAUGUACGGAAUGGAUAAGCGCUGAAAGCAUCUAAGCGCGAAGCCAACUUCAAGAUAAGAUUUCCCACCGCAAGGGUAAGACCCCAGAAAGACUAUCUGGUUGAUAGGUCGAAGGUGUAAGUGCAGCAAUGUAUUUAGCUUAUCGAUACUAAUAGGUCGAGGACUUGACCA